Long non-coding RNA from Siniperca chuatsi (mandarin fish), 314 nucleotides. RefSeq lists it as uncharacterized. The transcript is spliced from 3 exons. Lineage: Eukaryota; Metazoa; Chordata; Actinopteri; Centrarchiformes; Sinipercidae. The record is from RefSeq and is a predicted model, not a curated record.
UGUGCGAGCAUGCAUGUGCGUGGAUCCCGCUUGUGUGAUGCUAUGAGGAACGUCUGUCUCCCAGUGGGCCUCUCUCAAGGCGUACCAGCAACGCCAAGCACUGCCAACGAGGGUGCGCACGCACGUGUGUGUAAGCCUCCCAAAUGUUCUCGGCAGCGAAGAGAUCCAAGUGGCAUAAUGACGUCACACACCACGUCCUCGGAUACUACCAUAGAGAUAAAGUGUAAAAUCCUCAAGAUCAUGAGCCUUAGUAAGAUGAAUAGGUGCACAGUUGAGAAAGCUGGACAACUGCCUGGAGGACUUGCACAAUGGCA